UGGGGAAUAUUGCACAAUGGGCGCAAGCCUGAUGCAGCAACGCCGCGUGAACGAUGAAGGUCUUCGGAUCGUAAAGUUCUGUUGCAGGGGAAGAUAAUGACGGUACCCUGUGAGGAAGCCCCGGCUAACUACGUGCCAGCAGCCGCGGUAAUACGUAGGGGGCUAGCGUUAUCCGGAUUUACUGGGCGUAAAGGGUGCGUAGGUGGUCUUUCAAGUCGGUGGUUAAAGGCUACGGCUCAACCGUAGUUAGCCUCCGAAACUGGAAGACUUGAGUGCAGGAGAGGAAAGUGGAAUUCCCAGUGUAGCGGUGAAAUGCGUAGAUAUUGGGAGGAACACCGGUGGCGAAGGCGGCUAUCUGGACAGUAACUGACGCUGAGGCGCGAAAGCGUGGGGAGCAAACAGG
This 403-nucleotide ribosomal RNA is filed under the name Verrucomicrobiota bacterium. RNAcentral's name for it is "Verrucomicrobia bacterium partial 16S ribosomal RNA". It matches the Rfam family "Bacterial small subunit ribosomal RNA", at positions 355 to 776 of the family's 1533-position model. The record is from RNAcentral. Lineage: Bacteria; Pseudomonadati; Verrucomicrobiota.